CAAACGCAACAUUGAGUCACUGACUGUGUGGUUGUAGACUAUCUCCAUUUUCAUAGGAAUUGCCGCAGAAGAAUUUUCCAUUUUAUAAAGCUACCCAUGUUCUUUGCUAAUGUAGAAUCAUGAGACGCGUUAUUCCAUCAUUGCUCUUAAAUCUGUCAGUCUGCUAUGCUUUAAAAAGUCUCUGGUAUCCACCGCUUUAUUGGCAUAAAGACGAUUGUCGAUUCCAAACUGUUCGUAAAAAUGGAGCAUCUGAACUCUUCGUGAAAGUUAUUCACAGUGACUUUCAACACGGCGAUACAUAUGGCUGGACAUUGCUAUGUCCAACGAUCACUAUGAAUAACUGGAUGCCUGACAAGCCUGAUGAUACCUUGUUCUACGAAAACGUAUGGCAGGUGGAUAAAGACGGUUUCGAUAAAUGCAGGGUAAAUACUACAGGUGAUCCUAAAGUCAAUAGAUUAAUAUUGCUGUGUGACAACAAAAUGAAAGUCAAAAGGCAUUUUUUCUAUUUCAUUCAUAUGGACGGUUUAUAUCAUUAUUUCAAACCAUAUUUUGAAAAAGGAAAACAUUAUUAUUUCAUAUCAACGAGCACUGGUGAUGAUUUAACUCUCAAUAGAACAAAUAAUUUCGAUGAAGAUACUCAUUGUAGGAAAUAUACGAUGAAACUUCACAUUUACGUUUGUGAUCAUUUAAAAGAGGAUUGUCUUUAUGAGCUGCCAAAAUGCGGACCACCACAUGAUCUUUACCGAGACAUGCAACUAAUAAACGGGAAAUUACCUGCAGUUCCUCCAACUCAUGACUUACUUACAGUUGAAAAAAUUAUAACUCCCCAAAAAACCAUGGACAAGAAAAUAGAACAAGUUGUACAAACAGCAACAACGCAGCAAAAUGUCGCAGAAAAACCCCAAAGUACAUUAAAACCUUGUAAAAAAGAAGAUGAAGGAACUUCAAUUCAUCUCAUUCUAAAUUUUGUUCUUGGUGGUGUCGCAUUGUUUAUGGCUGUUGUCAUCAUUAUUCUUGUCUGUGGACUUUCCAACAGGCGUUUCAAGUCUUAUUAUGAUAUGGAUCGCCCACCAUCGGCCAUAUCAACCACUCACGGAGGACAUAUAGUUAAUGCUGAAAUCAUUAAUGCAGAGAUGGUUAGAUACAGUGAUGGACACGUACAAUUAUCUCCUGUUAUUCUAAGUCGUACACCACCGACGUCCCCAAGUGUCAUUGUACCACCCUAUCCAACACUACAAAGAAUACACUCAUCUCGAAAAAACACAUCAGAUUAUCAUCCUGUCGAAGAUAUUCCUAUUGGAGGAUUUACAGUAGAAGAUACUCCACAAGAACGAUCGCCCCUUGAAUCUCCUUCAUCCAAUGAAGCCUUUACAUUCCCUGAUCAUGUGAAGGCAGUGGAUUCCGACAGUCAGUCGAAUGGACCCGAAAUCUCUGACUCAAUUACAACAGAUGCCAUUGUAACAAAUCAUCUACAUGAUCAAAAGGCUGACACGUGAUAAAUGAAAGAUUUAUUUACUUUUUAGUGUGCAAGGAAACGUGUCUCAAAAAAUCAUAUCUUUCGUGACAAACAAUGUCAUUUUUGGAAUUAUUCAACCACUAGAGACUAGACUCUAGUCACUAGAGUAUGGACGUUCCUUGUAUUCAUGGCGCUGUUGUUUGCACAUUUAAAAUGUAAAAAGAUAACAUGCACACGGAAAUAUCAUUCUGCUACACGCUUGUAUGUUCAUAGAUUUUGAGGUGAAGUUAUAUUUUUUUAGUACAAUGGAUUCAUAGCCUUUAUUGUCAUUUUUAUGGAAGACUGUCAUUCACCUUUUUAACUGACGACAAACUAAUCUUACUUGUUAUGAUAAAGAAUGUUUUUAACGCAUUUGCUGUCUGGAUAUUUACCGAAUACAAUCUUACAGUUUAAAAACGAUUAAAUUGUAUUAUAGUAGUCGACAAGAAAAUUUUCGUUCACCAUACGUCUAUGUUGUUUUGGUGUAUGGAAACCAGUUUUAUGAGACAAUUCCAAUAUGGCGAUUUUUCACUGCACAUGGAGUAUAAUAAAGGGCUCAAGAAAAGUUUAAAAACAUCAUUUGGAUGAUAACGUUUACAUAAAAUGGGAAAAGAAAAAGCAUUGAACAACAAAAGGAGCAAUCUUGUGCAAGAUUUGACUGAAAGUGACACUGUAAAACGUCGAAAUCGCCCGGGCAAAGAACGACCGCGACAAAGUGAAAAUAAUUCUCAGUGUGUCAAUGAGAAAUUGUCCAGAAAGAUUAUCGAUCAGGCGUUAAAACAACAAGAUGACUUGCAAGCUGAGUAUGUUGGGGCCAGCUUUUCAAAGAGAAAAAAGUCUUUAUUAGUCACGAAGACAUCUCAUGAAGAUGUUGUCAAGGCUAAAUUUGACGUUGAUGAUAGCAGUGAGGAAGAAGAUUUCUCAGAGAGAGAGGAGCAGUAUUAUGAAGAUGUGCAUGUUGACGAGGAAGAUGAAAAGGCUUUGGAGAUGUUUAUGUCAAAAGAACCACCACAGAGACAAACACUUGCUGACAUUAUUAUGGAGAAAAUUAAGGACAAAAAAACAGAGAUUGAAAGUCAGAUGUCUGAGCAAAGUUUGGCUCCCGCACCUAUGGAUGAACGACUUGUGAAAGUUUUUACUGGUGUUGGGGACAUUCUCAGCAAUUAUCGCUCAGGAAAACUACCUAAAGCAUUCAAAAUAAUACCAUCUUUAAAGAAUUGGGAAGAGGUUGUCUAUAUAACCCAUCCAGAAAAUUGGACAGCAGCUGCCAUGUAUCAGGCGACAAGAAUUUUUGUCUCAAACUUCAAUGCAAAGUUGGCUCAAAGAUUUUUUAAUCUUAUCUUGCUGCCUCGUGUACGAGAUGAUAUUGCUGAGUAUAAGAGACUUAAUUAUCAUUUGUAUCAGGCUCUGAUGAAAGCUUUGUUUAAGCCAGCAGCAUUUUUUAAGGGUAUUUUGCUGCCCUUAUGUGAAUCUGGCACCUGCACCCUGCGUGAAGCAAUUAUUAUGGGCAGUGUAGUCACCAAGACGAGCAUACCAGUCCUCCAUGCUAGUGCGGCCAUGUUAAAGUUAGCAGAAAUGUAUUAUUCAGGGGCAAACAGUAUAUUAUUACGGCUUCUUCUUGAUAAAAAAUACGCUCUACCUUAUCGUGUCAUUGAUGCUGUGGUCUUCCAUUUUCUGAGAUUUUGAGCGAUAAACGAACUCUACCAGUUUUGUGGCAUCAAUGUUUUUAACAUUUGUACAAAGGUACAAGCAAGAUAUAUCCAGUGAACAAAAAGAAGCGUUACUUGAAGUUUGUCGUAUGCACACUCAUGAUCAGAUAACUCCAGAAAUACAACGAGAGCUUCUUCAUUCGUCCUCACGUGAUGUUGAGAUAUCCAAUCAGAUGGAAGUGUAGACAAAGUGAUGAAGAUGUAAAUAAUAAUGAAUCUAUAAGUUUCAUGAAAAUUCAAUAAACUAGGUCUGGAAGAAUGUGGAACAGUAUCUUCAACCCAUAUCAA
RNA transcript from Xenia sp. Carnegie-2017, 3492 nucleotides. It is a transcript of the gene named bystin-like, with no coding region annotated. The transcript has 18 exons. NCBI's taxonomy places the organism in Eukaryota, Metazoa, Cnidaria, Anthozoa, Malacalcyonacea, Xeniidae. The record is from RefSeq and is a predicted model, not a curated record.